AACGGCGAGUGAAGCGGCAAUAGCUCAAAUUUGAAAGCUGGCGUCUUCGACGUCCGCGUUGUAAUUUGUAGAGGAUGCUUCGGCGAAGACUCCUGCCUAAGUCCCCUGGAACGGGGCGUCACAGAGGGUGAGAAUCCCGUAUGUGGCGGGCGGUCCUAGCCAUGUGAAGCUCCUUCGACGAGUCGAGUUGUUUGGGAAUGCAGCUCUAAAUGGGAGGUAAAUUUCUUCUAAAGCUAAAUAUUGGCCAGAGACCGAUAGCGCACAAGUAGAGUGAUCGAAAGAUGAAAAGCACUUUGGAAAGAGAGUUAAAAAGUACGUGAAAUUGUUGAAAGGGAAGCGCUUGCAACCAGACUCGCCCGCAGUUGCUCAGCCGGCCUCUUGGCCGGUGUACUCUUCUGCGGUCGGGCCAGCAUCAGUUUGGGCGGCCGGAUAAAGGUGUCGGGAAUGUAGCACCCUUCGGGGUGUGUUAUAGCCCGGCGCGGAAUGCGGCCAGCCUGGACUGAGGAUCUCGCUUCGGCAAGGAUGCUGGCGUAAUGGUUGUAAGCGGCCCGUCUUGAAACACGGACCAAGGAGUCUAACAUCUAUGCGAGUGUUUGGGUGUCAAACCCAUGCGCGUAAUGAAAGUGAACGGAGGUGGGAACCCCUCACGGGGUGCACCAUCGACCGAUCCUGAUGUCUUCGGAUGGAUUUGAGUAAGAGCAUAGCUGUUGGGACCCGAAAGAUGGUGAACUAUGCCUGAAUAGGGUGAAGCCAGAGGAAACUCUGGUGGAGGCUUCGCAGCGGUUCUGACGUGCAAAUCGAUCGUCAAAUUUGGGGUAUAU
This 821-nucleotide ribosomal RNA is filed under the name Guignardia sp. CIL1.2. RNAcentral describes it as "eukaryotic LSU rRNA". It matches the Rfam family "Eukaryotic large subunit ribosomal RNA", at positions 85 to 920 of the family's 3401-position model. Lineage: Eukaryota; Fungi; Ascomycota; Dothideomycetes; Botryosphaeriales; Phyllostictaceae. The record is from RNAcentral.